GGGCUGUAAUUGUGGCUCUUGUGUGAUGUUUUUACCCUGUGUGUGUGUGUGUGUGUGUGUGUGUGUGUGUCGUCCUCCCCUCUGCUGAGGAAAGGGGACAGUCUUCCAGCUGAUAGCAGAAUUCAGGUCGACACCGCAUCAUUUCUGCCUCAUGCAUCAAUUCAUGUUGUUACUCCUGUGACCAGAGAAAGUGAAAUAUUCCUCCAUAUUAAAACACGCUGCUAAAAAUAACAACAACAAUCUUAUCGGAAACACUUUGCAAUACUCAGUAUUACAGCUGCAGUGGAAGUACAGUAGGGAGAACCCACAUUUUAAGGCUUGACAGUGUUGACAGCGCUGAGUAACUACUGAAACACAAACUCACUCAUAAAAAUAAAUAAAAAACAGCAGCUCUUUGAAAUCUCACAGUAUCAACUUUUGUCGUUCGAGGUUUUUUUUUUUUUUUUUUUUUAACAGUCUAUGUCUCCAGGAAACCGUCCAGACACGGUGAUCUGAGCUAUCUGAUUGGACAGCGGUGGGCCUAUCGGUGCACUUGAUUUGCUCUCUGGGCCUACCGCCAACAACGAGAGCACCUAACGCCAACAACCCCUGCUCUAAACUGUGGUGUGUGUAGUGUCAUUGAUGCUAGUGGACAGAACGCUCUAGGCUAUUUCAGAUCAAACUCACUACUACUGACGGACGGUCUGGUGACAGCGCCAGGUGUUGGUAGUAAAACCAGGUCACUGAGGUCUCUGUUGUCUGUAUUGGAGAGAGGAGCAGUAGUAAAACCAGGUCACUGAGGUCUCUGUUGUCUGUAUUGGAGAGAGGAGCAGUAGUAAAACCAGGUCACUGAGGUCUCUGUUGUCUGGAGGAGAGAGGAGCAGUAGUAAAACCAGGUCACUGAGGUCUCUGUUGUCUGGAGGAGAGAGGAGCAGUAGUUAGAAUCAGUACUGGGGUAUCUGUUGUCUGUAUUGGAGAGAGGAGCAGUAGUUAGAAUCAGUACUGAGGUCUCUGUUGUCUGUAUUAGAGAGGAGCAGUAGUUAGAAUCAGUACUGAGGUAUCUGUUGUCUGUAUUGGAGAGAGGAGCAGUAGUUAGAAUCAGUACUGAGGUCUCUGUUGUCUGUAUUAGAGAGGAGCAGUAGUUAGAAUCAGUACUGGGGUAUCUGUUGUCUGUAUUAGAGAGGAGCAGUAGUUAGAAUCAGUACUGAGGUCUCUGUUGUCUGGAGGAGAGAGGAGCAGUAGUUAGAAUCAGUACUGAGGUCUCUGUUGUCUGGAGGAGAGAGGAGCAGUAGUUAGAAUCAGUACUGAGGUCUCUGUUGUCUGUAUUAGAGAGGAGCAGUAGUUAGAAUCAGUACUGAGGUCUCUGUUGUCUGUAUUAGAGAGGAGCAGUAGUUAGAAUCAGUGGCUGCUGCUUGUUGUGAUGAAAGUAGCCCUGUAUGUGUGUGUGUUGUGUGUACAGCUGUGACCCACAUGACCUCACCACUUCCCCUCUCUGCUCUCUUGGUUGGAGGAGAGAGAGGCUCUCAGCUGGUGACUGACUGCUAGGUGCUCAGACGUGGCCUGUCUGUGAGUAGAGAGAAGCUCUCAGCUGGUGACUGACUGCUGGCUGCUCAGACGUGGCCUGUCUGUGAGAAGAGAGAAGCUCUCAGCUGGUGACUGACUGCUGGCUGCUCAGACGUGGCCUGUCUGUUAGUAGAGAGGCUCUCAGCUGGUGACUGACUUCUGGCUGCUCAGACGUGGCCUGUCUGUGAGAAGAGAGAAGCUCUCAGCUGGUGACUGACUUCUGGCUGCUCAGACGUGGCCUGUCUGUGAGAAGAGAGAAGCUCUCAGCUGGUGACUGACUGCUGGCUGCACAGACGUGGAUAGUUCUGUCACAAAAACGGUGUUAACUGAGUUAACUAGCAAAUGUGCCGACUCUGGUCUUGGUAUGUGAGCUCUGGCCAACAGCUCCUAGAUAAAGUAUCCGUAAGUUAGUCUAAAUGAUGAGAUUAUUAUGGAUAAGAGCUAAAUUAUUUUUUAUUUGUCAAACAGCAGUCAAGCAUCGAUCGUCAAGACACCAGUAUAAAACCCUAGAUAUUUAUUUCAAAGGAGCAUUAAGAUCAC
Molecule: long non-coding RNA, 2082 nt
Filed under: Salmo salar (Atlantic salmon)
Lineage: Eukaryota; Metazoa; Chordata; Actinopteri; Salmoniformes; Salmonidae
Description: lncRNA (ENSSSAG00000090038.1)
Source: RNAcentral